This 207-nucleotide ribosomal RNA is filed under the name uncultured bacterium. Its description in RNAcentral is "partial 16S ribosomal RNA". It matches the Rfam family "Bacterial small subunit ribosomal RNA", at positions 568 to 774 of the family's 1533-position model. The record is from RNAcentral.
UGCGUAGGUGGUUGAAUAAGUUAGGUGUGAAAGCCCCGGGCUUAACCUGGGAAUUGCGCCUAAUACUGUUUAGCUAGAGUACUGUAGAGGAAGGUGGAAUUUCCGGUGUAGCGGUGAAAUGCGUAGAUAUCGGAAGGAACAUCAGUGGCGAAGGCGACUUUCUGGACAGAUACUGACACUGAGGCACGAAAGCAUGGGUAGCAAACA